This 251-nucleotide ribosomal RNA is filed under the name uncultured prokaryote. RNAcentral's name for it is "partial 16S rRNA". It matches the Rfam family "Bacterial small subunit ribosomal RNA", at positions 525 to 775 of the family's 1533-position model. The record is from RNAcentral.
ACGUAGGGGGCAAGCGUUGUCCGGAAUUACUGGGCGUAAAGGGAGCGUAGGCGGUCUGUUAAGUGGGAUGUGAAAAACCCGGGCUUAACCCGGGAGGUGCAUUCUAAACUGGCAGACUUGAGUGUGGGAGAGGAAAGUGGAAUUCCUAGUGUAGCGGUGAAAUGCGUAGAUAUUAGGAGGAACACCAGUGGCGAAGGCGGCUUUCUGGACCAUAACUGACGCUGAGGCUCGAAAGCGUGGGGAGCAAACAG